GCAUAACUAAGCUCGUGUGUGCCGAUGGAACUGACGGUUUGUUCAUUAGCACAAAGUUUCUAAACGAUACCGUGAGAGCCGAUGCAGAUUCCAUGACCUUGACGGUUGAGAGCGGCGUGACACUUAGGCAGCUAAUUGCUGAGGCGGCUAAGGUUGGAUUAGCGUUGCCUUAUGCACCGUAUUGGUGGGGACUGACCGUGGGUGGUAUGAUGGGAACCGGUGCUCAUGGGAGCUCAUUGUGGGGUAAAGGAAGUGCGGUCCAUGAUUAUGUGACUGAGAUCAGGAUGGUUAGUCCUGGUUCGGCCAACGAUGGGUUUGCAAAGGUUAGAGUCUUAAAUGAGCUUACGACUCCUAACGAGUUUAACGCGGCCAAGGUUUCUCUCGGCGUUCUUGGUGUUAUCUCUCAGGUUUGGAAAUUUAAAAUGUCAUUAUCUUUUGUUGCUCACUGCGAAAAAAUAUCAUAAUUCUAACAUAUGUGUGUGUUUUCACAACAAUUGUUGGAAAAAGGUGACUUUUAAAUUGCAACCGAUGUUCAAGAGAUCUUUAAGAUAUGUUAUGCGAAACGAUUCAGAUUUCGGAGAUCAAGCCAUGACAUUUGGGAAGGAACAUGAGUUUGCGGAUUUCAUAUGGUUACCAAGCCAAGGCAAAGUGGUUUACCGAUUGGACGACCGAGUACCGGUCAACACUUCGGGCAACGGUUUAUUUGAUUUUUUGCCGUUCCGUUCGCAACUCUCUGCGGCAUUAGCCAUCAUUAGAUCCUCAGGUUCCUUCUUAUUUCUAUAGCUUUGUUUUUUUUUAUUUUUAUAUAUUGUCUGCAUGUGAUAAAAAUCUAUAGAAAAAUAUCAUUCAAUAAUUCUCUCUCUAUUUAUUAAAAUAUUUAUACGUAGUUUUGUUUUUGUUUUUUCUUUUGUUGUCUUGUAUUUAUUAAUUAAGAGGAGACGCAAGAGAGGUUCAGAGAUGCGAAUGGGAAGUGUGCGGGAGCCACAUUAAUUUCGUCGACACUGUUUGCUACAGCAUACGGUUUGACCAAUAAUGGUAUAAUUUAUUCAAACUUUUGUUCAUUUAAUCUAUACAUUUGUACAUUUUCAUUGAUGUUAAACAUCUUUAUCGGCUUUUACUUGUAGGCAUUAUAUUUACGGGUUAUCCGGUUAUUGGAAGUCAAAACCGAAUGAUGUCGUCAGGAUCAUGCCUAGACAGUCUUCAAGAUGGAUUGAUCACGGCGUGUCCAUGGGACUCACGUAUAAAAAGCGAAUUCUUUCACCAAACAACUUUCAGUGUGCCUCUCACGCAAGUCAAAAGUUUCAUCAAUGACAUCAAAUCUCUUGUCAAGAUCGAAUCGAAAUCUCUAUGCGGACUUGAGCUCUACUAUGGUAUUCUUAUGCGUUAUGUAACUUCAUCUCCAGCUUUACUUGGGAAAGAAAUCGAAGCUUUAGAUUUUGACCUAACCUAUUACCGAGCCAAAAACCCCUUAACUCCGCGACUUUAUGAAGAUUUCAUCGAAGAAAUUGAGCAAAUUGCGUUGUUCAAGUAUAAUGCAUUGCCACAUUGGGGUAAAAACAGAAACUUGGCGUUCGAUGGAGUGAUUAAAAAGUACAAGAACGCGAGUGCGUUCUUGAAAGUUAAAGAAAUGUACGAUCCAACUGGUUUAUUCUCGAGCGAGUGGACAGAUCAAAUCCUCGGAAUCAAAGGAGACGCGACGAUAGUGAAAGAUGGGUGUGCCUUGGAGGGAUUGUGUGUAUGCUCGAAGGAUUCUCAUUGUGCUCCGACCAAAGGAUAUAUGUGUCGUCCAGGAAAAGUCUACAAAGAAGCUAGGGUCUGUACACGUGUUGGUGACAGAAGUGUGAUUCAAUCAUUAAGUCACUAAUCUUAUUGCUUCUUAUAUAUGUCAUAUACAUAUCAUCUUCAUGUAGUCGAUAUUUAUCCUGACGAGUUAUUAUUAAAGUUUUUUUAAAUAAAAAUAAUUUGAAGGUGAAGAAGUGAUGAGAGGUUUUACCAUGUGACCAACUCCUCCUAAUUAAAAUAGAGUGAUUUAAUUAACGUUGUUGUAAUAAUAAUAACGUUAGCCAGACAUUAAUAAUUCGCUGUCUUGGUUUCUACUAAUGCUCGUCCGCUAAUUUUUUUGAAUCGUUACUUUGUGUGUGAAGGCAACGGCUUGUGGAUGACUACGUACCUUGGCAAUCUUAUCUUCAAUCAAAGAAAAUGAAAAAGAUAUUUGUCACUCAAUAUAGGACGGAACCACAACUAAUGUUGUAUUUUAUAAUAAAACUCAGCUAAUGGGUGUAUUAUAUAGUUUGAUAUAUUCAAGACGUUACAGACUAAAUGAAGACGAAAUGUGUAUGAUAAUUACUAGUUGAAUUUGUCAUUCCUAGAUAGUUGAUAAAAUAUUAGCCAUUAAAAUAUGUACGUCACCUUUCUUUUCUCUAAAAAAUUCAUAACAGGACGAGGAAUAAUUUGACUAAAAACGUUCAAAGUAAAGAAAAAUAGCGAACGAUGCCAGCGCCAAUGGGAUUGCGAAUUUGCGAUUGACUAUAGUAAAGAAUAUGGCCAACAAGUCUUUAAUUAAGACAAUGUAAUAUAUAAAUAAAACUAACAUGACAGUCCAUAAAAAUUCGAAUGUGAAUACUCGUUAGUUUUUUUUUUAUCUUGCAGAGUUACAGGAGAGCAAGAGCCAUCUCAUCUCAACCUUAUCUAAAAUUAAUCAAAUAAAAUAUUUUAUGUAAAUCGUACGGGCCUUUUAGGCCACACAGUCUCCAUUCUCUAUAUAUAUAGUCCAAACAUAUUCACAAUAAAUAUUCAACGAAACUCAAAUCGAAACCCAUGGCAUUUACUUCUCCUCCUUUGUAUGGUUCCCAAAACGCUAGAUUUUGGCGCAGCCUUAUCUGGUUAUAUUAUAUAUUUACACUUGUGCACACGGCAGUCUCAACACCUCCCGAAGAUCCUGUCAAAUGUGUGUCGGGAAACACGAAUUGUACGGUCACCAACUCAUACGGAGCCUUCCCUGACCGGUCCACAUGUCUAGCCGCCAACGUGGCAUACCCGAAAACCGAAGCCGAGCUUGUCUCUGUCGUGGCUGCAGCCACUCAAGCCGGACGAAAAAUGCGUGUAACCACUCGAUAUUCCCAUAGCAUUACUAAGCUCGUGUGUACCGACGGAACCGACGGUUUGUUCAUAAGCACAAAGUUCCUAAACCACACGGUGCAAGCAGAUGCAACGGCCAUGACCUUGACGGUUGAGAGUGGCAUGACGCUUAGGCAGUUAAUCGCUGAAGCCGCUAAAAUUGGAUUAGCGUUGCCGUAUGCACCGUAUUGGUGGGGACUAACUAUAGGUGGAAUGAUGGGAACCGGUGCUCAUGGGAGCUCGUUGUGGGGUAAAGGGAGUGCGGUCCAUGACUAUGUGACCGAGAUCAGGAUGGUUAGCCCAGGUUCAGUCAACGAUGGGUUUGCAAAGAUUAGGGUUUUAAGCGAGACUACGACUCCAANNN
RNAcentral lists this long non-coding RNA (3481 nucleotides) under Capsella grandiflora. Its description in RNAcentral is "long non-coding RNA (CGRA_LNC001323)". The record is from RNAcentral. Lineage: Eukaryota; Viridiplantae; Streptophyta; Magnoliopsida; Brassicales; Brassicaceae.